CCUACGGGAGGCAGCAGUGAGGAAUAUUGGUCAAUGGGCUUACGCCUGAACCAGCCAAGUCGCGUGAGGGAAGACUGCCCUCUGGGUUGUAACCCUCUUUUGUCAGGGUGCAAUUGGCGCUACGUGUAGCGUUAUCGAGAGUACCUGAAGAAAAAGCAUCGGCUAACUCCUUGCCAGCAGCCGCGGUAAUACGGAGGAUGCGAGCGUUAUCCGGAUGUAUUGGGUUUAAAGGGUGCGCAGGCGGAAUGCCAAGUCAGCGGUAAAAUCGCGGGGCUCAACCUCGCUCCGCCGUUGAAACUGGCGUUCUUGAGUGGGCGAGAGGUAUGCGGAAUGCGUGGUGUAGCGGUGGAAUGCAUAGAUAUCAGGAGGAACACCGGUGGCGAAGGCGGCCUGCUGGACUGCAACUGACGUUGAGGCCCGAAAGCGUGGGGAGCAAACAGGAUUAGAUACCCCAGUAGUC
Molecule: ribosomal RNA, 460 nt
Filed under: uncultured bacterium
Lineage: Bacteria
Description: partial 16S ribosomal RNA
Rfam family: Bacterial small subunit ribosomal RNA
Source: RNAcentral